AAUGCAUUGUUUAUCCUCAUCUGAUGCACCUAAUUGUGGCCUCUUCUACCUUUUCCACAGUCUCCAAACUUCAAUCUCAAAUCCCUAUCCAAAGUGCUCGGCUUCACCUUCAAAGACUAAGACAAGGUUGUCGCACGGCUAGGGCUUGGCCUGCGACAUGCAGAGAACGGGCUGACUUCCACGGCUCGGAGUUUCUUCCCUGAAGAACACCAUGGCCAUUUUUCAAUUGUUCCAUAAAGGACAGCAUCAAUACUUUGGGCAUGAUAAGGCAGAUAUUUCUUUUUCAUAGAACACAAUGACAUAUUUAUCUGCCUACUUGAUUUUAACUCAGGAAGGGUAGAUGUUUUAUUCAUCAAAUUUUUAACUUAAUGUAUAAAAGAUCAAGAAAUUGGGAAUUAUUUGGUAAAAUAUUGUUUUAUAUACAGUUUUGAAAUAUUAAUAUUAUAAUACAACACAUAUUGUAUAAAGGGCUUUAUUAGAUGAGAGAGAGAAAAAAAAAAGUGUUUCCCCAAUGCGUUAAUAGUAUUUCAACCUUAGCCAUCAUGAAAGCUUCAGAACUUAUCACUUCAUGCUCUGUGUAACUGAAUCCUGUUUCAUGGGUUUCAAAUUUAAUCUCAUUUAUUGUAUUUAAAUGAUUUUAUUGUAAGACUACCUAGGAAAAAUAAUUUUCAUUUUCACAUUAGAGACAUUUCAUGU
Molecule: long non-coding RNA, 696 nt
Filed under: Dasypus novemcinctus (nine-banded armadillo)
Lineage: Eukaryota; Metazoa; Chordata; Mammalia; Cingulata; Dasypodidae
Description: lncRNA (ENSDNOG00000051105.1)
Source: RNAcentral